AUGUCUAGGGGCUCUGAGAGGAGAAUCCCCCACACUGGUACUGAGACACGGACCAGACUCCUACGGGAGGCAGCAGUAAGGAAUAUUGGUCAAUGGGCGGAAGCCUGAACCAGCCAUGCCGCGUGCAGGAUGACUGCCCUAUGGGUUGUAAACUGCUUUUGUCCAGGAAUAAACCUAAAUACGUGUAUUUAGCUGAAUGUACUGGAAGAAUAAGGAUCGGCUAACUCCGUGCCAGCAGCCGCGGUAAUACGGAGGAUCCGAGCGUUAUCCGGAUUUAUUGGGUUUAAAGGGUGCGUAGGCGGCCUAUUAAGUCAGGGGUGAAAUACGGUGGCUCAACCAUCGCAGUGCCUUUGAUACUGAUGGGCUUGAAUCCAUUUGAAGUGGGCGGAAUAAGACAAGUAGCGGUGAAAUGCAUAGAUAUGUCUUAGAACUCCGAUUGCGAAGGCAGCUCACUAAGCUGGUAUUGACGCUGAUGCACGAAAGCGUGGGGAUCGAA
Molecule: ribosomal RNA, 496 nt
Filed under: Sphingobacterium multivorum
Lineage: Bacteria; Pseudomonadati; Bacteroidota; Sphingobacteriia; Sphingobacteriales; Sphingobacteriaceae
Description: bacterial SSU rRNA
Rfam family: Bacterial small subunit ribosomal RNA
Source: RNAcentral